GUCUACAGCUAUACCACCCUGAACACACUUGAUCCCAUCUGAUCUCUGAAGCUAAGCAGGGUCAUGCCUGGUUAGUCCUUGGAGACUGCCUAGGGAUACCGGGUGCUGUAGGCU
RNAcentral lists this ribosomal RNA (114 nucleotides) under Saimiri boliviensis boliviensis (Bolivian squirrel monkey). Lineage: Eukaryota; Metazoa; Chordata; Mammalia; Primates; Cebidae. The record is from RNAcentral.